GCCCCAGACUCCUACGGGAGGCAGCAGUGAGGAAUAUUGGUCAAUGGGCGAGAGCCUGAACCAGCCAAGUCGCGUGAAGGAUGACGGCCCUACGGGUUGUAAACUUCUUUUGUCAGGGAGCAAUUGAGUCCACGUGUGGGCUUAGCGAGAGUACCUGAAGAAAAAGCAUCGGCUAACUCCGUGCCAGCAGCCGCGGUAAUACGGAGGAUGCGAGCGUUAUCCGGAUUUAUUGGGUUUAAAGGGUGCGUAGGCGGAAUAUCAAGUCAGCGGUAAAAAUUCGGGGCUCAACCCCGUCGUGCCGUUGAAACUGAUGUUCUUGAGUGGGCGAGAAGUAUGCGGAAUGCGCAGUGUAGCGGUGAAAUGCUUAGAUAUUGCGCAGAACUCCGAUUGCGAAGGCAGCAUACCGGCGGCGAUCUGACGCUGAGGCACGAAAGCGUGGGUAUCGAACAGGAUUAGAUCCCCCGGUA
RNAcentral lists this ribosomal RNA (467 nucleotides) under uncultured bacterium. Its description in RNAcentral is "bacterial SSU rRNA". It matches the Rfam family "Bacterial small subunit ribosomal RNA", at positions 328 to 792 of the family's 1533-position model. The record is from RNAcentral.